Molecule: transfer RNA, 69 nt
Filed under: Oscillospiraceae bacterium
Lineage: Bacteria; Bacillati; Bacillota; Clostridia; Eubacteriales; Oscillospiraceae
Description: tRNA-Pro
Source: RNAcentral
CGAGGUGUGGCGCAAUUGGUAGCGCGCUUGCUUUGGGACUAAGAGAACGGCUCAAACCCCUAACCUUGA